CUAAGGAUGUUCCUAGUCAGCAUGAACUUGUUCAUACUCGUGGAACACUUAGCAAUGAUGCGUAAUCAAAACGCAUCAACAUCGGAGCAUCGCAAGAUGUUCCUUUGGACCGAGCCGUCCUCAUAUCUCUUCAGAAAAGUCGCGGCAGCAGCCGUUAUCUGGCGCUGCCUGGUGACAUAACCACUGAGUGCUGCUCUCGGGCAUUGCUUUGCAAUACCCUGUCGCACACGGGUUUUGAUUUGCUUUGCAAAUCGAAAACCGGGUCGGUAGCUCAGGUGGUUAGAGCGCACGCCUGAUAAGCGUGAGGUCGGAGGUUCAAGUCCUCCUCGACCCACCAGUCAUCCUUCGGGAUUAAGAUGGGGCCUUAGCUCAGCUGGGAGAGCGCCUGAUUUGCAUUCAGGAGGUCAGGAGUUCGAUCCUCCUAGGCUCCACCAUCACCCCAGAGGGGUGUUUGAUACCUGUUACAAUUAGAUCGUUAAGCACUGUGCGCAGUUCUUAACCGUCCAAUUGGACGAAUUGACAUCGUUAAGAGAGAAACAAUCAACAACACUGUUGAUCGCCCCGAGUGUGGGGAUGAUCUCAGAUUGGUGCUGUAUGUGGUCUUCGGACUAUUUACAGCGAGCUUUGGAACACGUCUGUUUCCUCGGACGUCCCAGGGUUUGCCAGCCUGAAACGACAGAGUUGUCCAAGUCAAGUACACUAACCCGGUUCUAAUUCCGCAAGGUUUUGGAACCAUUGUAUUUAUGAUGACUGUUUUGCGAAGAGGGCGGGAUCGACAUCACGCCGUUAGUAGUAAGACGCCUGUUCAUCAUGAAUGCGGGAAAGUAACUUUUUGGUCUGGAGAUUGUGACAUCGGUUUCUUACCAGCUUCCGAUGUCCCGAUGGUUCUUUUUGUCUGUCAUCUAUCCGCGCUCAAGUAGCCGAAUAGGCGGUAGCGCAAGUAUAAAGGCUAUCUAUUUCUGG
RNAcentral lists this transfer RNA (963 nucleotides) under Pseudophaeobacter leonis. Its description in RNAcentral is "16S-23S intergenic spacer". The stretch from base 261 to 334 matches the Rfam family "tRNA". The record is from RNAcentral. Lineage: Bacteria; Pseudomonadati; Pseudomonadota; Alphaproteobacteria; Rhodobacterales; Roseobacteraceae.